AUCCCCUGAGGAUCUUGUUAAAAUGCAGAUUCUGGUUUAGUAGGUCUGGGUGGGCUCCAAGAGUCUGCAUUUCUACCAAGAUCUCAAAUGAUGCCCA
Molecule: microRNA precursor, 97 nt
Filed under: Myotis brandtii (Brandt's bat)
Lineage: Eukaryota; Metazoa; Chordata; Mammalia; Chiroptera; Vespertilionidae
Description: mir-544 microRNA precursor family
Rfam family: mir-544 microRNA precursor family
Source: Rfam by way of RNAcentral